CCUACGGGUGGCAGCAGUGGUGAAUAUUGGACAAUGGGGGCAACCCUGAUCCAGCCAUGCCGCGUGUGUGAAGAAGGCCCUCGGGUUGUAAAGCACUUUCAGUGAGGAAGAACGCCUGGUGGUUAAUACCCAUCAGGAAAGACAUCACUCACAGAAGAAGCACCGGCUAACUCCGUGCCAGCAGCCGCGGUAAUACGGAGGGUGCGAGCGUUAAUCGGAAUUACUGGGCGUAAAGCGCGCGUAGGUGGCUUGAUAAGCCGGUUGUGAAAGCCCCGGGCUCAACCUGGGAACGGCAUCCGGAACUGUCAAGCUAGAGUGCAGGAGAGGAAGGUAGAAUUCCCGGUGUAGCGGUGAAAUGCGUAGAGAUCGGGAGGAAUACCAGUGGCGAAGGCGGCCUUCUGGACUGACACUGACACUGAGGUGCGAAAGCGUGGGUAGCAAACAGGAUUAGAUACCCUUGUAGUC
Molecule: ribosomal RNA, 465 nt
Filed under: Vreelandella stevensii
Lineage: Bacteria; Pseudomonadati; Pseudomonadota; Gammaproteobacteria; Oceanospirillales; Halomonadaceae
Description: partial 16S ribosomal RNA
Rfam family: Bacterial small subunit ribosomal RNA
Source: RNAcentral